UGGUGUUCUGUCACUACAGACAAUGCAGUUCCACUGCUCUACAGCGCAGUGCUGGGGACUUCAUACCUCUCAAGCUGGCGUUUGGCAUGGUGAUCUCGGGAUAACGUACGGCUGCGUCAGAGCUCCCCAUUCCAGUGACGCUGCUUUUCUGUGGAGAUAGUACAAGCUGACGCCUGUGCCAGCAAUGGAGACGAGGCUUUAUGGAGCAAUCUUGGGAGUCCGAGCUUGACAAAUGUGCGCAAGAAGCUCAAGUGAUUCAGUGGAGCUGGUCGUUGUCACCCAUGUUGUGGAUGCCAUCACUUUUUUGGGCUCAGGGAGCAGAGCACCAGCGCAACCUCAGUGGCUUCAAACGGAGAGAGAGGUGGUAAAUGAGAACUGGCCAAGCAAUGCAGAGAUGGUGGUCCAGCAGCUGUGUAAUCAGGUCACAGAGCAGAUGCUGAAUGAAGCUAAAUCAGAGCUACAGAUACUGAAAGAGGAAGUGACGAAGAAAGCAAAAGAAACAGAGAAAUUUGAAGAGAAGAAUGCCUUCCAGAAACUUGCAGAUCCCCUAGAAUAUGAACUAUUGAAAGGAGGCCAGACUGGAACUCCAGAAAGUGGGUGA
Long non-coding RNA from Pygocentrus nattereri (red-bellied piranha), 601 nucleotides. The record is from Ensembl. Lineage: Eukaryota; Metazoa; Chordata; Actinopteri; Characiformes; Serrasalmidae.